AUACGUAGGGGGCGAGCGUUGUCCGGAAUGAUUGGGCGUAAAGGGCGCGUAGGCGGCUUUGCAAGUCAGUAGUGGAAGUCCAUUUUUCGAGGAUGGAAGUGCUACAGAAACUGCGGAGCUUGAGUGCAGGAGAGGUUAUCGGAAUUCCCGGUGUAGCGGUGAAAUGCGUAGAGCUCGGGAGGAACACCAGUGGCGAAGGCGGGUAACUGGACUGCAACUGACGCUGAGGCGCGAAAGUGUGGGGAGCAAACAGGAUUAGAUACCCUGGUAGUCCACACUGUAAACGAUGAAUGCUAGGUGUAGGAGGUAUCGACCCCUUCUGUGCCGCAGUAAACACAGUAAGCAUUCCGCCUGGGGAGUACGGUCGCAAGAUUAAAACUCAAAUGAAUUGGCGGGG
This 397-nucleotide ribosomal RNA is filed under the name uncultured bacterium. RNAcentral describes it as "partial 16S ribosomal RNA". It matches the Rfam family "Bacterial small subunit ribosomal RNA", at positions 523 to 918 of the family's 1533-position model. The record is from RNAcentral.